CCGUGGAACAGGGAAAACACUUCCCGGCAGUGGUUGGCCUAGAGGUAGUAACUACGAGGUGGAGGGGUGGGAGUGCUCUGCUUCCUGUAGCCACUCCAUACCAUCAGCGACGUCGGGUCUCUUGGGAUCUCAGCCACCGUCGGAAGGGACCGUCGCCGACGAGGAGAUGGGAUUCCUGAUGCAGCCAAUUAAAAGAUUCACGGUGCUUGAGGAGGUCAAUAAUAGCGAUGUCCCGAUGGCUCCGCUGCAUUACCUUGUCGGCGCCACUGCGUCGGGCGAGCUGCAGCACGCGCAAGCCCUAGAGCUGAGCAUGGACGGACAAAUUUGUGCGACCCAAGCUGUGGUGGUGGCAGAAAGGGAAAUUUCACCCCAAAAGGCUUGAUUAAUGAACCUAGAAAAUCCCUCGAAUUGGAUCCGACUAAGCGUCCGGGCUCUCCACCCGCAAGAUCCCAAUGUUGUAAGCAACUCCUGAAGAUCUCAUUUUAAUAAAAUGAGAAAUGAGAUCUUCAGGAGUUGCUUACAACAUUGUAAAAUUCACUCGCAAAUCGUAUGCGUUUCACCAGUCUUUCAAGCGAGUUGCUUACAAAAUUGUAAUGCGAUCUUCAGGAGUGCAACAUCUUUUUCAUCGAUGUGGCGACGUGCGUGCCGAUUACAUACACAGAGCCCCUGUUACCUGAGGUGUGCCUUUUAGAUUUAUUGUUUUGUGAACCCAGCUAUCUUACAGGAGUAGAUUGAUGUACGAUGUUUAUUUCCUGGUACAGAGAUAGAAAAUACGGCUACACUAGUGGGAAGUGCAUAGAUACAUGAAUGCUUAAUAUAGUAAGCAGACAUUGAUGGUGAGCUAAAAGAAAAUUUAGUAAUUUACUAUGUUAUAUCUUCAUCAUAUAAACUAGUGGUUAAUUUCAUGUGAUAAAUAGUUCAGGUAAGUUUUAUGUUAGGAGUGCGCCAGGUGAACAUCUGAAUAUUGCAGAAUUGAACGCGGAUAGGGUUGAUGUAUCAGAAGUCAAUAAGAGCCUGAUUUGGGUAUCUACCAUCGGAGUUGCUUAUGGACUUUGAUAUGGUCUUUCAUAUAACUAUUAGAGGAAAUAUGCGAUUAUCCUAGUUUAGGGUCUUUUAUAUAACUAGUUUCUGAAGCAGCCGAUAAGAAGGUACAAACAGCCCCACUCCCACCACCGACCCCACCUCCUUUUUUGGUUCCUUGUAGAUUCCAUGAUCAUGAUGCCGAUCUGAAGUUUGAACCGCUUCCUUGCAGAGCUACGCUGAUCGAGGAUGUUAAUGAUAGUGACAUCCUAUGGAGCCCCUACAUUAUCCUUUGGCUGCACCGCCAGCGGGGAUGGGGUAGAAUCAGGCUCCGGCGGAGAGCUUCAACGGGCAGAUUUGGGUGGAGGAAGCAGCGGUAGCGGAGCAGAGGGAGGAUUCACCGCAGGCUUCAGCACAGUUGGUAGGGAAGCUGGAUCCAAGAGCUUUAGGGUGGUCACGCAGGGGUUAGAGUGGGAGCUGCUGCUCCGGGGCGAACACCAUGUCCGAACCGCAGAAGUGCCUUGGAGAAGGCUUUCCAUGGUUAUGUGGUGAAUCCUGGUGAAAAUGUCAUAGUUUUGACGUUGGGGACAAGCUUGAUAAUGUUCCAUAUGGAUAGACAAGCUCUGUUGACCUGUGGCUACUGCUGAAUGUUCUUAUGGUUGGCUAACCUUGUCAGUGCAGGGUCGGCCGCUGAUACACGCGGCAAUGUUUGAGCAAAUUGGCCUUAUUUUCUUGUGUCCCUGCUUCCGAAAACUAGUGCGGAACCGGUACAAGAACUAUGGUGUCAAGUGUCACCAUCGAAACAACUGCACCGAAGCUCCCGAAAUAAGACACCCAGAAGUCUGAUUGAGGUCGCUGGUAAGAGGAUAAGAGUUGGACAACUGUUUUCCUGUGAUGUGUGCACUGGUUAUGUACUGACUUGUUCAGUAAACCUUCUUAUGUGUGAUUGCUUUUACAUGUGCUGUACUACUAGCUGGUUUGAUAAUUAUCCUAUGUGAGCUUUAGAUGGAGCUGUAUUAUGUGUAUCAUUGAAGUACUGGUAAAGAGUGUGAUGCUGUCAUCUGAAACAGAACUUGCUUGAUGCAUAUUUGAAAAUGAGCUCAAAAUUCUUGAGUUAGCACCUAUGGAA
Non-coding RNA from Triticum urartu, 2149 nucleotides. Lineage: Eukaryota; Viridiplantae; Streptophyta; Magnoliopsida; Poales; Poaceae. The record is from RefSeq and is a predicted model, not a curated record.